GAUGAACGCUGGCGGCGUGCCUAAUACAUGCAAGUCGAGCGAACGGACGAGAAGCUUGCUUCUCUGAUGUUAGCGGCGGACGGGUGAGUAACACGAGGAUAACCUACCUAUAAGACUGGGAUAACUUCGGGAAGCCGGAGCUAAUACCGGAUAAUAUUUUGAACCGCAUGGUUCAAAAGUGAAAGACGGUCUUGCUGUCACUUAUAGAUGGAUCCGCGCUGCAUUAGCUAGUUGGUAAGGUAACGGCUUACCAAGGCAACGAUGCAUAGCCGACCUGAGAGGGUGAUCGGCCACACUGGAACUGAGACACGGUCCAGACUCCUACGGGAGGCAGCAGUAGGGAAUCUUCCGCAAUGGGCGAAAGCCUGACGGAGCAACGCCGCGUGAGUGAUGAAGGUCUUCGGAUCGUAAAACUCUGUUAUUAGGGAAGAACAUAUGUGUAAGUAACUGUGCACAUCUUGACGGUACCUAAUCAGAAAGCCACGGCUAACUACGUG
Molecule: ribosomal RNA, 497 nt
Filed under: uncultured bacterium
Lineage: Bacteria
Description: partial 16S ribosomal RNA
Rfam family: Bacterial small subunit ribosomal RNA
Source: RNAcentral